GACGAACCGUGCAAACGUUAUUCGGAAUCACUGGGCAUAAAGGGCGCGUAGGCGGCUUCCUAAGUCAGGGGUGAAAUCCGGCAGCUCAACUGUCGCAGUGCCUUUGAUACUGGGAAGCUCGAGGGAUGUAGGGGUCUGUGGAACUUCCGGUGGAGCGGUGAAAUGCGUUGAUAUCGGAAGGAACGCCGGUGGCGAAAGCGACGGACUGGACAUCUUCUGACGCUGAGGCGCGAAAGCCAGGGGAGCAAACGGG
This 253-nucleotide ribosomal RNA is filed under the name uncultured bacterium. RNAcentral's name for it is "partial 16S ribosomal RNA". It matches the Rfam family "Bacterial small subunit ribosomal RNA", at positions 524 to 776 of the family's 1533-position model. The record is from RNAcentral.